Molecule: long non-coding RNA, 1056 nt
Organism: Lingula anatina
Lineage: Eukaryota; Metazoa; Brachiopoda; Lingulata; Lingulida; Lingulidae
Source: RefSeq, a predicted model, not a curated record
UCGAGGGAUAGAUACCUGUAAAAGAAAAGUGUGGAAGACAAAUUUAUCAGGAGCUCAAUCGGGACGAAUUCGCUGUCAGUUCAACAGCUCUGCUAUACAAAUACAGCUUCCAUUUGGAUCAAAAGAGCCAUAAAGUUUGAAAAACAAUGAAAAUUUCACUAGUUGCCGCUGCAUUGUUACUGGUGGCACAUUUGGUGGAAGCCACCAGUGAGAGAUCAGGGAACGAAGUUUAUUCUGCCCAGAAACGAUCUUCACUCACGAAAGGUCUUGCUCGCCAAAGAGCAUGCGGCUCCAUUAACUGCAAGGUGUCGGGCUGUGAGUCCAGGGGUGGCUGGUGGUUUGUGUCGAAUUCCGCCGGCUGGAACAUCCGGGGCUCUGACCGCGGUUGCUGUGGCAACUACGGUGGCUGUUGCAAGCAUGCUUCAGACUUGUGCUACAUACACGACUACACGUGUCGCUGUUGUAUACCUAGAUUGUAUUGUGGACCCCAGUGCAAGAAAAAUUCGGGCUGUUGACACCUUGUCCUAAAUAUCAUUACUUGAAACAAACUUGCUUUAACCAGGCUACGCCCGGUUUGCCCUUUCUAAAGGACCCUAGACUUUGCUGACAUUGGAAAUAGUUCCUAUACAGAUUGUAGUAGAUUUUUCAUUUUAGUGUAAACUUUGUAAUAUCCACCUUUGGCACAAGCUCCUGAAAAUGAAAUGACUACAUAAAUGUUCAAGAUCGUCACUACGAUUGGCGUUUGUAAAAGAACACUAUAUUAGACCAUUAACCGUUUCAGCGGCCAAAAUGGUCAUCAUAUAUGCAUAACAGAAAUCAAAUAAAACGAUGUUUGCCAAUAGAUAAUGCUUCAUGCAUUGUGUCUUCUGAUAUCUGCAAGAACCCGUGUAUGAUAUCAUUGCUCCCUACACUUUGCAAGAUUUGAACUCGAACGCCAAAUUAUGAAGGAAACUCCUGCGCUAUACAAGCAAAUGUGUAAAGUCACAAAAUAUCCUUGGACGCAGUCAAAUUGAUCUCAACUCUGAGACGUACAAUGUAUUUUGACCGAUAAGUGAA